This 253-nucleotide ribosomal RNA is filed under the name uncultured bacterium. RNAcentral's name for it is "partial 16S ribosomal RNA". It matches the Rfam family "Bacterial small subunit ribosomal RNA", at positions 524 to 776 of the family's 1533-position model. The record is from RNAcentral.
UACGAAGGGGGCUAGCGUUGUUCGGAAUUACUGGGCGUAAAGCGCACGUAGGCGGCUUUGUAAGUUAGAGGUGAAAGCCCGGGGCUCAACUCCGGAAUUGCCUUUAAGACUGCAUCGCUAGAAUUGUGGAGAGGUAAGUGGAAUUCCGAGUGUAGAGGUGAAAUUCGUAGAUAUUCGGAAGAACACCGGUGGCGAAGGCGACUUACUGGACACAUAUUGACGCUGAGGUGCGAAAGCGUGGGGAGCAAACAGG